GACGAACGCUGGCGGCGUGCUUAACACAUGCAAGUCGAACGCUGAAGCCCAGCUUGCUGGGUGGAUGAGUGGCGAACGGGUGAGUAACACGUGAGUAACCUGCCCCCUUCUUUGGGAUAACGGUCGGAAACGGCUGCUAAUACUGGAUAUUCACUGGCCUUCGCAUGGGGGUUGGUGGAAAGGUUUUUUCUGGUGGGGGAUGGGCUCGCGGCCUAUCAGCUUGUUGGUGGGGUGAUGGCCUACCAAGGCUUUGACGGGUAGCCGGCCUGAGAGGGUGACCGGUCACAUUGGGACUGAGAUACGGCCCAGACUCCUACGGGAGGCAGCAGUGGGGAAUAUUGCACAAUGGGCGAAAGCCUGAUGCAGCGACGCCGCGUGAGGGAUGACGGCCUUCGGGUUGUAAACCUCUUUCGCUCAUGGUCAAGCCGCAGCUUUGGGUUGUGGUGAGGGUAGCGGAA
This 458-nucleotide ribosomal RNA is filed under the name uncultured Actinomyces sp. Its description in RNAcentral is "bacterial SSU rRNA". It matches the Rfam family "Bacterial small subunit ribosomal RNA", at positions 28 to 483 of the family's 1533-position model. Lineage: Bacteria; Bacillati; Actinomycetota; Actinomycetes; Actinomycetales; Actinomycetaceae. The record is from RNAcentral.